AGUGAACGCUGGCGGUAGGCCUAACACAUGCAAGUCGAACGGCAGCACAGUAAGAGCUUGCUCUUACGGGUGGCGAGUGGCGGACGGGUGAGGAAUACAUCGGAAUCUACUUUUUCGUGGGGGAUAACGUAGGGAAACUUACGCUAAUACCGCAUACGACCUACGGGUGAAAGCAGGGGAUCUUCGGACCUUGCGCGAUUGAAUGAGCCGAUGUCGGAUUAGCUGGUUGGCGGGGUAAAGGCCCACCAAGGCGACGAUCCGUAGCUGGUCUGAGAGGAUGAUCCGCCACACUGGAACUGAGACACGGUCCCGACUCCUACGGGAGGCAGCAGUGGGGAAUAUUCGGCAAUGGGCGCAAGCCUGAUCCAGCCAUGCCGCGUGGGUGAAGAAGGCCUUCGGGUUGUAAAGCCCUUUUGUUGGGAAAGAAAAGCAGCAGGUUAAUACCCCGCUGUUCUGACGGUACCCAAAGAAUAAGCACCGGCUAACUUCGUG
RNAcentral lists this ribosomal RNA (492 nucleotides) under uncultured bacterium. RNAcentral's name for it is "partial 16S ribosomal RNA". It matches the Rfam family "Bacterial small subunit ribosomal RNA", at positions 29 to 507 of the family's 1533-position model. The record is from RNAcentral.